RNAcentral lists this ribosomal RNA (253 nucleotides) under uncultured bacterium. Its description in RNAcentral is "partial 16S ribosomal RNA". It matches the Rfam family "Bacterial small subunit ribosomal RNA", at positions 524 to 776 of the family's 1533-position model. The record is from RNAcentral.
UACAUAGGUCUCAAGCGUUGUUCGGAUUCAUUGGGCGUAAAGGGUGCGUAGGCGGCGCGGUAAGUCGGGUGUGAAAGCUCGGAGCUUAACUCCGAAACUGCAUUCGAUACUGCCGUGCUUGAGGACUGGAGAGGAGACUGGAAUUUACGGUGUAGCGGUGAAAUGCGUAGAUAUCGUAAGGAGGACCAGUGGCGAAGGCGGGUCUCUGGACAGUUACUGACGCUGAGGCACGAAGGUCAGGGGAGCAAACGGG